UAGGGAAUUUUCCACAAUGGGCGAAAGCCUGAUGGAGCAACGCCGCGUGCAGGAUGAAGGCUUUCGGGUCGUAAACUGCUUUUAUGUGCGAAGAAUAUGACUGUAACACAUGAAUAAGGGUCGGCUAACUACGUGCCAGCAGCCGCGGUCAUACGUAGGACCCAAGCGUUAUUCGGAAUUACUGGGCGUAAAGAGUUGCGUAGGUGGCAAGUUAAGUGGGUAGUGAAAUCGUGUGGCUCAACCAUGCAGACAUUAUCUAAACUGGCUCGCUAGAGUAAGAUAGAGGUAACUGGAAUUCCAAGUGUAGGAGUGAAAUCCGUAGAUAUUUGGAGGAACACCGAUGGCGUAGGCAGGUUACUGGAUCUUUACUGACACUGAGGCACGAAAGCGUGGGGAGCAAACGGG
This 405-nucleotide ribosomal RNA is filed under the name uncultured bacterium. RNAcentral's name for it is "bacterial SSU rRNA". It matches the Rfam family "Bacterial small subunit ribosomal RNA", at positions 355 to 776 of the family's 1533-position model. The record is from RNAcentral.